UGACGUGGCUUGAAUACAUGGCAUGUUAGUGCUUAUGUGUUAAAAUUGAGUCAUUUUUUAAUUUUUCUUUUAUCAUUAUAUACAAGUAAUAAGGGCAAAAUAGUAAAUUAAUAAUAAAACAAAACAAUAAACAAAAUAUAACUAAACCCAUCCUCUCUCUCUCUCUCUCUCACUUUUUCGGCGACCUCCAUAGCCACCACCUCCACCAUACCCUAAUCGCGCUAAGCUCCAUCUCCGACUUGAACUUCACCGACCCAAACAUACACUUCCACAACCUUGCCUUCGCCGACAUCGAAGUCCAGCAGAAGAGGUCCUGUCUGGUUCUUCAAUCGGUAGAAACAACAACUCUGGCCACGGGUUGAAAGAAGAAAUUGGUGAGCGCACUUUUUUCUCACCAAGUUCUGGGACUAUGAGAAGUAUGUCUGGUUCUUCAGUGGGUGAUUCUUCUUGCCACUUGGAGCCACUAAAAAUGGGUGGUUCUCCAUUGAAACAGAGGACUUGAAAUUCUCGCCUCUCUCUUUUGAUCCCUGUUUCAAAAUAAGAUCCAAAAGAAUAUGGGAAGAAGCAGAUUAGAACAGAACCCAAGUUUUCAGAUCCAAAAAAAAGAUUAGAACAAUUAAAACUAAAAAUAUGGGAAGCAGCAGCAGAAUCGGAACAUGAACAGAGAAACCGAUCAGGAUACAUCAUGCAUCGACCAGACCAAAACAAAAGAUCAGAACCCAAAAUCAAAUCACCAGAAACAUAUAACCCAAAACAAAAAAGAAGCAGUUGAAACAAAUCCUGACUCUGGAACUCACAGUUUGGUAGCCAUGAAAAUCACACUCACCGGAGAAUGACGUCAACAUCACGGAUCUAAAAGGCGGCAAGAGCUUUUAAGAGCUUUUUGCCUAAAUACAAAAAUCUUCGUCAACAAUCAAGCAAAAUUUUGGAUAAUCCUUUCCAGAGCUUUUUGCCUAAAUACAAAAAUCAAGCAAAAUUUUGGAUCUAUACAACAAUAAAUACAACUCUUUGAAGCAAAGAAUCACCGUUGACGGCAAAUUAGACCGUGAAUCACCAAGAUACUCCAAAAGAAGUACAAAUACCUCAAUUUUUCGAACCACAGACCGCGAAUUCUUCUGCUGGAAUGGCAGCUUCUUGCCUGAAAAAGAUGAGAUUAAGCGACGACGAACUUCUUUUCCACCGGCGCUAAAAACGCCUCAAGCGACGGCGACCUUCUCUUCCUUAAGGAAAAAAUUGCAGCUGAAGCCAUCAAACCAAACCCUAUAAUCAGAGAAGAAAAUCCCGAGCCGCUCUCUCUUCUCAAUGGCUUUGAUCGAAGCUGGGGUAUGUUUGUUUAAUUUUAUUUAGCCUUUUGUUGUUUUUAAUUGGUAUUAAUAUUUAAUAUAGGGUGAUUUGAC
RNAcentral lists this long non-coding RNA (1397 nucleotides) under Panax ginseng (ginseng). RNAcentral describes it as "long non-coding RNA (PGIN_LNC015320)". Lineage: Eukaryota; Viridiplantae; Streptophyta; Magnoliopsida; Apiales; Araliaceae. The record is from RNAcentral.